RNAcentral lists this transfer RNA (74 nucleotides) under Danio rerio (zebrafish). It matches the Rfam family "tRNA". Rfam says of the family: Transfer RNA (tRNA) molecules are approximately 80 nucleotides in length. Their secondary structure includes four short double-helical elements and three loops (D, anti-codon, and T loops). Lineage: Eukaryota; Metazoa; Chordata; Actinopteri; Cypriniformes; Danionidae. The record is from Rfam by way of RNAcentral.
GUCUCUGUGGCGCAAUCGGUUAGUGCGGUCGCAUGUUAACUGAAAGGUUGGUGGUUCAAGCCCACCCAGGGACG